This 418-nucleotide ribosomal RNA is filed under the name uncultured bacterium. RNAcentral describes it as "bacterial SSU rRNA". It matches the Rfam family "Bacterial small subunit ribosomal RNA", at positions 32 to 441 of the family's 1533-position model. The record is from RNAcentral.
AUCAACGCUGGCGGCGUGCCUCAGACAUGCAAGUCGAACGAUUAAAGCUCUCUUCGGAGAGUGUAUAGAGUGGCGCACGGGUGAGUAACACGUAAGUAAUCUACCUUCGAGUGGGGAAUAACGUCCGGAAACGGACGCUAAUACCGCAUAAUGCAGCGGCAUCGCAAGAUGACAGUUGUUAAAGGAGCAAUUCGCUUGAAGAGGAGCUUGCGGCAGAUUAGCUAGUUGGUAAGGUAAUGGCUUACCAAGGCUACGAUCUGUAACCGGUCUAAGAGGACGGUCGGUCACACUGACACUGAAUAACGGGUCAGACUCCUACGGGAGGCAGCAGUCGGGAAUUUUGGGCAAUGGGCGAAAGCCUGACCCAGCAACGCCGCGUGAAGGAUGAAGUAUUUCGGUAUGUAAACUUCGAAAGAAU